UGGGGGAUAUUGCACAAUGGGCGAAAGCCUGAUGCAGCAACGCCGCGUGAGGGAAGACGGUUUUCGGAUUGUAAACCUCUGUCUUCGGUGAAGAAACAAAUGACGGUAGCCGAGGAGGAAGCCACGGCUAACUACGUGCCAGCAGCCGCGGUAAUACGUAGGUGGCAAGCGUUGUCCGGAAUUACUGGGUGUAAAGGGCGCGCAGGCGGGGAGACAAGUCAGCUGUGAAAACUAUGGGCUUAACCCAUAAACUGCAGUUGAAACUGUUUUUCUUGAGUGGAGUAGAGGUAGGCGGAAUUCCGAGUGUAGCGGUGAAAUGCGUAGAUAUGCGGAGGAACACCAGUGGCGAAGGCGGCCUACUGGGCUCUAACUGACGCUGAGGCGAGAAAGUGUGGGGAGCAAACA
Molecule: ribosomal RNA, 405 nt
Filed under: uncultured prokaryote
Description: bacterial SSU rRNA
Rfam family: Bacterial small subunit ribosomal RNA
Source: RNAcentral